RNAcentral lists this unclassified non-coding RNA (253 nucleotides) under uncultured Actinomycetes bacterium. Its description in RNAcentral is "uncultured actinobacterium contains 16S-23S intergenic spacer region". It matches the Rfam family "Bacterial small subunit ribosomal RNA", at positions 524 to 776 of the family's 1533-position model. The record is from RNAcentral. Lineage: Bacteria; Bacillati; Actinomycetota; Actinomycetes.
UACGUAGGGUGCGAGCGUUGUCCGGAAUUAUUGGGCGUAAAGAGCUCGUAGGCGGUGUGUCGCGUCGGCCGUGAAAACCUGGGCUUAACUCUGGGCCUGCGGUCGAUACGGGCAUCACUUGAGUUCGGCAGGGGAGACUGGAAUUCCUGGUGUAGCGGUGAAAUGCGCAGAUAUCAGGAGGAACACCGGUGGCGAAGGCGGGUCUCUGGGCCGAUACUGACGCUGGGGCGCGAAAGCGUGGGUAGCGAACAGG